Molecule: long non-coding RNA, 894 nt
Organism: Mesocricetus auratus (golden hamster)
Lineage: Eukaryota; Metazoa; Chordata; Mammalia; Rodentia; Cricetidae
Exons: 3
Source: RefSeq, a predicted model, not a curated record
UGGUGGGGCACCUCACUGGGUGAGAUAUCUAGAUCAUUCCACUCAUAUUGUCCUUUACUCUCCAGAGGCCUUCGUGUGCUUAAUGAAUGUGACUUGUGGCCUCCCUGUACAUCCCUCUGCCACACUGGAAGCUCCUCGGGGCAGGAACCUGUUGGGAGCAUCCCUUCCUCCCUCAUCCUUGGCACCAAGCACAGCCUCACACACCCACCGUUCACUGUGUGCUAGCUGUGCCAGGGGUGUAUCCCGAAGAGAAGAAAGGACCCACCGCAGCCGUCCAUCCAGAUGUGCCACGGAUCCAGGUGACAGCGUGUGAACGAAGAUGCCCGAGAUGCACUGGAAGUAGGGGACGCUGCACAGGCCAAUCCCCAGGCCAACGCCAGCCUCUGGAAUGCAGAACGGGGAAGGCCUGCUCCAUGGACUUCAGCGAGGGCCCAAUUGGCUAUGGCCACUGAGUAUUUGUACCAGAGAUGCCUGAAGGCUCAACAGGUUUAUGGUCCAGUAGAGGAGCUAAGACAUACACCAGGCAAGUGAUUCAUUGCACCCCCGGCCCCCAUUUCCACACACAUUGCUCCACACAAAUCUCUCCCUCUGGUUUCCCAGCCUCUGUUUGAAACCACCUUCUUCCUCUCCGUCUUUGAAUCCUACCCUCUUCCAUUUGCCCACCUUGCACCAGCCAUGCUGGCCUUCCCUUUGUUCCCAGAACACCUGCUCACCACUGUGCUUGGAGCCCAGCUCUGCACCUGACACUGCCCCUUGUCCUUCCAGGCUCCGCCCAGCUGCAUUUGGCAGAGAAGGCCUCCAGAACCUUCUAGAAUUAGCCAUCCACCUGGGGUCACAGGGUGAAUGGCUGCAUAUCCCUGAAUGUCAGCUUGAUUAAAAAUCAAACAAACCAAA